UAAGGAAUAUUGGACAAUGGACGGAAGUCUGAUCCAGCCAUGCCGCGUGCAGGAAGAAGGCGCUCAGCGUUGUAAACUGCUUUUGAGUGGGAACAAAUCAUGGGGUGCGCCCUGUGUUGAGGGUACCACUAGAAUAAGCACCGGCUAACUCCGUGCCAGCAGCCGCGGUAAUACGGAGGGUGCAAGCGUUAUCCGGAAUCACUGGGUUUAAAGGGUGUGUAGGCGGUUUGUUAAGUCAGUUGUGAAAUUCCCCGGCUUAACCGGAGGGAGUGCGAUUGAUACUGAUAGACUUGAAUCAGGUUGAGGUAGGCGGAAUGUGGCAUGUAGCGGUGAAAUGCAUAGAUAUGCCAUAGAACACCGAUUGCGAAGGCAGCUUGCUGGACCUUGAUUGACGCUGAGGCACGAAAGCGUGGGGAGCAAACAGG
RNAcentral lists this ribosomal RNA (425 nucleotides) under uncultured Saprospiraceae bacterium. Its description in RNAcentral is "bacterial SSU rRNA". It matches the Rfam family "Bacterial small subunit ribosomal RNA", at positions 355 to 776 of the family's 1533-position model. Lineage: Bacteria; Pseudomonadati; Bacteroidota; Saprospiria; Saprospirales; Saprospiraceae. The record is from RNAcentral.